Long non-coding RNA from Aedes aegypti (yellow fever mosquito), 398 nucleotides. RefSeq lists it as uncharacterized. Lineage: Eukaryota; Metazoa; Arthropoda; Insecta; Diptera; Culicidae. The transcript is spliced from 2 exons. The record is from RefSeq and is a predicted model, not a curated record.
UAAAGCGAGACUAACACCCAAUUUCCACAGUUGACUACUCGCAUCUAAAAGCAUGCUCUUGUACUAUAAAUAAGGCGCCUUUCCGAUUCAAAGUCAACCAAGUCUUUGGAUCUUCAGCAAUACUACACCAUGAAAACUGCAAUCUUCGUACUGUUUGCCAUGAUGAUGGCUGCGCUCGUAUCCGGAAAUGCUGAUUUCCGCCAGAAGAGACAGGUAGUUGAACCGCCAUUCAUCAAGAAGACCGCUUACCAGACCGGAAAGUAGAAGUCCGACAAAGUGCAACAAUAAAACGAAGUUCUGCUUAGAAAAAAAAAAGAUGAAACACCUGACCUAGUUAAUUCAUGCAAAGGAUUGUAUAAUUGAAAAAGAAUAAAAAGGUGUUGGAAAUCUUAACCUCA